UUUAAAAAUUUAUUUUUAACUUUGCUUUUGUACUGCUCCGUACUUGCUCCUUUGGGGCGCAGCUAACUUUCAGUCCCGUUGGGUAUGUACAUAUAUAUAUA
Long non-coding RNA from Rhagoletis zephyria (snowberry fruit fly), 101 nucleotides. RefSeq lists it as uncharacterized. The record is from RefSeq and is a predicted model, not a curated record. NCBI's taxonomy places the organism in Eukaryota, Metazoa, Arthropoda, Insecta, Diptera, Tephritidae.